RNAcentral lists this long non-coding RNA (380 nucleotides) under Taeniopygia guttata (zebra finch). Its description in RNAcentral is "lncRNA (ENSTGUG00000021712.1)". Lineage: Eukaryota; Metazoa; Chordata; Aves; Passeriformes; Estrildidae. The record is from RNAcentral.
UUCCUGGAAACAAAGGAGAAAUAAAGGAGUGGAAAAUAAUGCCAUUAUAUAACAGGAAAAUUGCAUCAGAGUUCAUUCUUCAGUUGCAAAAAAAAAAAAAAAGUCAGUUCAAUAGGUAGGUUUUCAAGGAGCCCAAAUGAAUCCAUUCCCUUUUCCCCCAAGUAUUUGGUGGUUGGUUGUUAAUUAAUUUUUUUGCACGAUUCUCUUGCUUUUAAACACGCAGAUAUUUUGUGAGCAUUUCCUGAAGUCACAGGUUAAUUCUUUUGAGGAAAAUGAUCCAUAAAGCUUUGAGGAGCUGCAAUCCCAAGCUGUCUGCAUUAUCCAAACCCCACUUGACCUCCACAACAAGGAGCUGCAGGUCUUGGCACACCGUGGAGUGA